RNAcentral lists this long non-coding RNA (2079 nucleotides) under Helianthus annuus (common sunflower). Its description in RNAcentral is "hypothetical non coding rna". The record is from RNAcentral. Lineage: Eukaryota; Viridiplantae; Streptophyta; Magnoliopsida; Asterales; Asteraceae.
GAAAACGUUGCCUCUAAACUGAAAUCUCAAGUGUAGAGUGUUGGUGGAGGUAAUCCUCAAACCGAAACUACAACCACUGUCUCCUCUCGAGGCCGGCGCUACCACCAUCCCCAACCAUCAAGGACUACCAGACAUUGUCGGUGCUGUGAAGGGUCACCGGAGACUGGUCGAAGAGGUGGUCGGAUUCCCUUUACUCUCUCUCUAUGAAGAAUGUGUGUCUGUGAUAAAGAAUGUAUAGAUUUUGGAGGGUUUUUGUGGGAUUGGGUAUUGGUGGGUUUUUAUGGGAUUUUGAGGGGAAAAUAAAGAAUAUUUGGCUGAUUUUGGGGUGGUGAUGAUUGAUGAAACUUUUACCGAACACUUUUACGUACUUUUUAUACUCUUUAUGAUUUGUGAAUAUUCAUACGUGUAAUUAUUUUAAACAUACAACUUAUAAUAUACGAUAUGGUUUCGUACGAACAUUUAAAGUUAACGUGUUAACUUUCACACAAACGGUAAAGUUUGGACACACGAGAGGAUUAUCUCGUCAUAACGCAAAGUUAUCUAGGAUAACUUUCUACCCAAGAUAGUUUAUGAAACUUGAGGGACUAAAAGUGUCAAUGAACUGAAGUUAUAACCUUUAAAAGUUCAAACCUGACCCUCGCGACCCUUGUCACCUUCGUGACACAUUUACACCCGAAGUUCACACCUUCGCGAACCCUCUUGACCUUCGUAAUACCAUAGGACCCAAAGGACACACCUUCACGGCUCAUUCCACCUUAGGUGACCCACUGUACCUUCGGCCCAAUAUCACGUAACAAAUUAUAAAUACAUGCAACACAUCGCCUAAAACCCUAGUUACGAUCACUCAAACCCUUCUCCUGCCAACUUUCCUCUGAUCGACGAAGAAGACCCACAUGCGAAGGAUCUCGCCCCCCCCUCUCUCUCUCGCGAUAUCUACCUCUCGGACGUGGUUGACCAAUGCUACUACAAAUCAUUUAAUAUUCUACCUGAGCAAACUAAGGUGAGUUCACAACUCUUUUCUAAAGGCAUGCGUCCCUGGUUUGAGGCAACACACUUACUUCCCUGGUUUAGGAAACACAUAUGGUACCCCUGGAUUGGGAUCACACAUACUCUACUAUCCCUGAGCGUGAAGAAGUAGGUGAGGGUUUAAUUAAUGGGUGGGUCCACAAACAAUAAACAAUUUAUUAAUUAAAAUUUUGUUCUAGUUAUUGUUUCUAAUAAGUAAGGGUAGUUUAGUAAUUUCGCAUAGACUUAACUAAGAAAACUAACCCCCAUUUACUUCAGGGACUAUCCGAGUAACAAUCGAGCAAACCACAAGGAGCAUGAGUGUAAUUUUAUAAAGUUGAGGACUCAAUGUGAAAUUUUGACAAACCAUAGGGACUAUCCGGGUAUUUUACUCUAAAAUUCAUCUACAUAAGUUCUUUUUCUUUUUUAAAGUAUUCAACUGGAUUUGUAGUUUUUAAUCUUAAGCUAAGCCAAAUAAAAAUAAGUUUAAUAGUUAAAAGUAGUACUAAAAUGAGUUAUGUAGUUAACAGAUUAAUCAUGAUUCGUGACCUAUUCUUUAAAAAAAUAUAAAAACAGUUAGAUUUAGGUUAAAAUAUUAUUAUCAACUCACGUUAUACAAACAUGCUAUAUUAUUAUAGUAAGCAUUAUUAUUUAUAAGUUUAAUAGUUAAAACUAGUACUAAAAUGAGUUAUGUAGUUUAACACAUUAAUCAUGAUUCAUAACCUAUUCUUUAAAAAAUAUAAAAACAGUUAGAUUUAGGUUAAAAUAUUAUUAUUAACUCACGUUAUACAAACAUGGUAUAUUAUAGUAGAUAGAGGAUCCUGUACAAAGUGGAACUUUUGUGAGAAGUAUAAGAAAUAAUUUGGGAAUGAUAAGUGUCCUUUAUCUUAAUUAAUUCAAAAGGGUAUAUUAGUAAUUUGACAUUCUUAUCAUUUAAUUGAUCCUGUACAAAGUGGAACUUUUGUGAGAAGUGUGAGAAAUAAUUUGGGAAUGACAAGUGUCCUUUAUCCUAAUUAAUUCAAAAGGGUAUAUUAGUAAUUUGACAUUCUUAUCAUUUAAUUGAUUUCCAAGAUA